Molecule: transfer RNA, 77 nt
Filed under: Negativicutes bacterium
Lineage: Bacteria; Bacillati; Bacillota; Negativicutes
Description: tRNA-Arg
Rfam family: tRNA
About the family: Transfer RNA (tRNA) molecules are approximately 80 nucleotides in length. Their secondary structure includes four short double-helical elements and three loops (D, anti-codon, and T loops).
Source: RNAcentral
GACUCCAUAGCUCAGCUGGAUAGAGCGCUUGACUACGAAUCAAGAGGCCGGGAGUUCGAAUCUCUCUGGGGUCACCA